Molecule: non-coding RNA, 388 nt
Organism: Macaca mulatta (Rhesus monkey)
Lineage: Eukaryota; Metazoa; Chordata; Mammalia; Primates; Cercopithecidae
Source: RefSeq, a predicted model, not a curated record
CAGGCACAAAAGAGGACCAGGAAGGGGCAGGCCUGCCACAGGAGCCGGCCACGUGUGCCCAGCCUUUUCUUCCAUUUCAGAGAUUUCAUGGCAGUGUUCCUGCAAUGGGAACAGGCUGAAAAAUCUGAUCAUGCUCAAGUGGUCACCCAGUUCUCAUCUUGGGCUUUAUUGUAGGACUAUAAUUGGUGUCACUGGCCAGAAGGGCCAAGUGUGGAUAAACGAUGCAGGAAGAUGAGAAUUCUGUCUCAGCCAAGCAGUGAGCAAUUGUCAGUGCAUAUCGGAAAGGUACCUGUGGUGCUGGAGAGUCUGCUGAGAACAAGGAUGGGAGUCAUUGCUCUGCAAAGCUUACAUUUCAGAGGGUCAAGAAGAUAGAAGACACUAUAUGAAU